AUGUGCGAUCCUAGAAGCACUAAUGCACAGGAAUCCAUUAGAAUUCCGCAGUUAAGCGUGCUUGGGCGAGAGUAGUACUAGGAUGGUUGACCUCCUGGGAAGUCCUCGUGUUGUACUAC
RNAcentral lists this ribosomal RNA (119 nucleotides) under Cajanus cajan (pigeon pea). Lineage: Eukaryota; Viridiplantae; Streptophyta; Magnoliopsida; Fabales; Fabaceae. The record is from RNAcentral.